This 983-nucleotide long non-coding RNA is filed under the name Marmota monax (woodchuck). The record is from RNAcentral. Lineage: Eukaryota; Metazoa; Chordata; Mammalia; Rodentia; Sciuridae.
GUAAUUCUAGCAACUCUGGAGGCUGAGGCAGGAGGAUUGCCAAGUUCAAAGCCAGCCUCAGCAACUCAGCAAGACCCUGUCUCAAAAAAGGAAAAAAAUGGCUGAGGAUGUAACCCAGGGGUAGUGCCCAGUACCAAAACAAAGUAGUCAUAUAAACGAAGAGCCAUGGGGCAGAGUCUGGGAAAGAAAGAGUGUCAAACAUGAAGCCCCUGUGUCCUCAUCCAAGUCCCCUCCUGGCCUCGGUGUGGGGCAAUGUGCAGGGCGCUGCUGAGCCAGGAAGCUUGGCCACGCUGCAGCUCCAGGUGCUGGUGGUGGCCUGGAUACACGGGCAGGACCACUGGGCGGUAUGCACGUCACUGCUCCUGGUCUCCAAGGAUGUCAGGUGGCACCAACCCUCUGAUGGCUUGGCUGGUCUUGAUCACUUGGCCAGCCCCGCCCUACUCAUCUCAUUAGCAUAGACUCAGAUGUGGUCCAAGGGGCCCACCAUGAGUCGUUCCAUUAAUAGGACUAUCAGGUGUGGCCCAAGUGGCCCACCAUGAAUAACCAAGACAUUCCUGUCACUCAAGAAAUUUCAAGGGUUCGAGGCAACCUCCCAGGGGUUGAAACAAAAGGUAGGACAUUUAUUUUUCCAGUACUGGAGAUUGAACCCAGGGUGUUGGGAGUCCCCCGGCUCCAAAGACUAAUUUUCCCAUCCCUGGAGAAGAGCCGUCCAAUGGUGAGCCCUGCUGACUCACAUGAUCCUUACCCACCAAUCAGUCUAGCCCUGCUGACUCACGAGAUCCUUACCCACCAAUCAGUCUAGCCCUGCUGACUCACGAGAUCCUUACCCAAAUCAGAAAGCACCCCGUGCCAACUGUCAAACCUUAAACUGUUAAACUGUCAUAACUGUCAAACCCUGCCCCCCCCCCACACUCUAUAAAUAUGCAGAGCUGUUCCUCAAUAAAUGGGCACUUCUUCGACGAUGAGCCUUGUCGGGUCGUUCC